This is an RNA transcript of Octodon degus (degu), 2258 nucleotides long. It is a transcript of the gene named peptidylprolyl isomerase like 2, with no coding region annotated. The record is from RefSeq and is a predicted model, not a curated record. NCBI's taxonomy places the organism in Eukaryota, Metazoa, Chordata, Mammalia, Rodentia, Octodontidae. The transcript has 15 exons.
AACAGUUAAACAUCAAGGCCAAGAACUUUCGGGACCUGCUGACUGACGAGCCCUUCUCUAGGCAGGACAUCAUCACUCUCCAGGACCCCACUAAUUUGGACAAGUUCAAUGUCUCCAACUUCUUCCACGUUAAGAAUAACAUGAAAGUAAUAGACCCAGAUGAAGAAAAGGCCAAGCAGGACCCAUCUUAUUAUUUGAAAAACACAAACACUGAGACCCGAGAGACACUGCAGGAGCUCUACAAGGAAUUCAAAGGGGAUGAGAUUCUGGCAGCCACCAUGAAGGUUCCUGAGAAGAAGAAAGUGGACCAGUUGAACGCUGCUCACUAUUCCACGGGGAAGGUCAGUGCAUCCUUCACCUCUACUGCUAUGGUGCCAGAGACUACGCAUGAAGCAGCUGCCAUCGACGAGGACGUACUGCGUUACCAGUUUGUGAAGAAGAAGGGCUAUGUACGGCUGCACACCAACAAGGGCGAUCUCAAUCUGGAGCUGCACUGCGACUUGACACCGAAAACCUGCGAAAACUUCAUUAAACUCUGCAAGAAGCACUAUUAUGAUGGCACCAUCUUUCACAGAUCUAUCAGGAACUUUGUGAUCCAAGGUGGGGACCCUACAGGCACAGGCACAGGAGGAGAGUCAUACUGGGGAAAGACCUUCAAAGAUGAGUUCCGACCCAACCUCUCACACACGGGCCGAGGCAUCCUCAGCAUGGCCAACUCAGGGCCCAACACCAACAAGUCCCAGUUCUUCAUCACCUUCCGUUCCUGUGCAUACCUGGACAAGAAGCACACCAUCUUUGGACGGGUUGUUGGGGGUUUUGACACACUGACAGCCAUGGAGAAUGUGGAGAGUGACCCAAAGACGGACCACCCUAAGGAGGACAUCCGCAUCGACGCCACCACAGUGUUUGUGGACCCCUAUGAAGAGGCUGAUGCCCAGAUUGCUCAGGAGCGGAAGGCAAAGCUUGAAGUGACUCCAGAGGCCAAGAUAAAGACCAACCAGCCCCAGCCUGGGAGCCAGGGCCCCCAGACAUACCGCCAGGGAGUGGGCAAGUACAUCAACCCGGCAGCCACGAAACGUGUGGCAGAGGAAGAACCAUCAACCAGUACAGCUGCCCCUGUAGCCAAGAAAAAGCCCAGUUGGGGUUUCGGGGACUUCAGCUCCUGGUAGCAGCAGACUGCCAUACUGAAUCCUGGGAUCCUGACCCUGAUACCUCAGCUUCCUGGAAAGCCUUUUCCUCUGGGACAACACUACAGGGUGAAGACAGAAGCAGGACCUGGCAACCAUCAGUCUCUGAAGCGCUCUGAGGCCCUGCUGUGGGCACUGCAGGAAGCCAGGCCCAUCCCUUCAUAUCAAGGAACAGCCUCCCCACAGUGAACAGCAAGUAACCAAGAAGUCUGACAUAAGAUGCUUUAUUUAUAAACCUCGCAUGGACAGAAGACCAAGGCUGGCUGUGCUGCCAGGGCAGAGGACAGGCUGUAGGCAAGAGGUGUGCUUGAGCUUGGCAGUCCCAUGCUGGAGGUGGAGCUUCCAGCUGCCUUCAGGCCACCAUCCCUCGUCCUCUUAUCCUGUGUCCUCCCACCAGCAGCUGUCAGGGCCUGAGCCUGCUUCAAGGGGAAGGAGAAGGCCCAGUCCUAGCCCUCACUUGCCCUUCAGGCUUUUGACAAAGGGCUAACGUUUUUGUAGUUCAUUUUAGAGCUUUCCUGAUAGUAAAACCACAAAGAUUUUCUAGUAAUUGCCUGAUAAGAUCAUCAGGUAAAAUAAAGGACUUCUGGGGACAAAUCUCACUUCUGAUCCUUCAAAUAUCUGACAGAUGCCAUCAAUAUAAACAUUAAGGUAUAAAAAUACUGUGUUUAUAUAUAAAACAGCAACAAAGAACUACAUUUCUAAAGCAAGUAUAUUGUGCCAGAGGGUACUACAAAUGCAUUCAUAUCCUAGCAUAACUUCCCACUGUUCUCAAGGAAAUAUUUUAAAUAAAUAAAAGUCAAAGGAUAUUUAUUGUGUAGGAAUUUAAGAGUGUGGAACAGCAUUCCAGCUCUUCACCAGCACAUCUGCUUAGUCUUGUAUUACUUCCCCUGAAGCCAGCUCAUGGUCAGUUCAUUUGGUUUAAAAAGGAGCUUGUAUUUUGCAGAAGAAAGUACAAAACAAGUCAUAAGAAUACCAGUAAAAAGUUUUCAGUCAGCGCUGUCACAAAAGACAAUACAAAAAUGAAAGUGCUCAAAUGGAAGGAGCAGUAAACUUGCCCAGAACAUAUAAAAG